This 274-nucleotide long non-coding RNA is filed under the name Vigna radiata. Its description in RNAcentral is "long non-coding RNA (VRAD_LNC002736)". Lineage: Eukaryota; Viridiplantae; Streptophyta; Magnoliopsida; Fabales; Fabaceae. The record is from RNAcentral.
AUUGUUCACGGACUUGGGUUAGUAAAAACUUUAACUUGUUGGAAGAAAUAAAGAAGAACCCAUUAAUUGAACAAGAAGAAGAAGAAUGGGAAGCAGACAUGGCUCAUUAACCAACAAGGUUGGGAAGAAGAUUGGGAAGAUGAUUGCUUAACCUCCAACGUCACUAUAGCUUUCACAGAACAUAAAUAAAAACCCUAAUUUGAGAAUCCACCCUCUUUUCACCUCACUAAAGGGUAAUAACAAAAAUACUAUUUCAAAAAUCCUAAUUCCAACU